Molecule: ribosomal RNA, 253 nt
Filed under: uncultured bacterium
Lineage: Bacteria
Description: partial 16S ribosomal RNA
Rfam family: Bacterial small subunit ribosomal RNA
Source: RNAcentral
UACGUAGGGGGCGAGCGUUGUCCGGAUUUAUUGGGCGUAAAGAGCGUGUAGGCGGCCAGGUAGGUCUGCUGUGAAAACUCGAGGCUCAACCUCGAGACGUCGGCGGAAACCAUCUGGCUAGAGUCCGGAGGAGGAGAGUGGAAUUCCUGGUGUAGCGGUGUAAUGCGCAGAUAUCGUAAGGAAGACCAGUGGCGAAGGCGGGUCUCUGGACAGUUCCUGACGCUGAGGCACGAAGGCCAGGGGAGCAAACGGG